AUGAUCUACUGCUCAUAUCAACUUUUACUGCAACUUUUCGGAGAGGCAUCUGGCCUACGGAUCAAUAUGCACAAGAACACCAUCACUAGCAUACAAUGUGAUGAGGUGCAGGCUGCAGAGGUAGCAGGACACUUCCAGUGCAGGCAACAAGCUUUUCCCAUCCUGUAUCUCGGUAUACCUCUAUCAAUAUACAGGCUGAAGCGGCAGGACUUACUUCCCUUGAUUGAUAAACUGUCAAACAAGAUGAAGGGUUGGAAACCAAAGAUGCUGGCAGUGGCAGGCUGGCUCACACUCACUACAUCGGUCCUCAUGGCACUUCCCAUGCACCUCAUGGCAGUGCUCUCAUUGCCGGUGUGGGCGAUCAAGACUAUCAAUCGCCGUUGCCGAGGGUUUAUGUGGAAGGGGGAGGAUGAGAUAUGUGGAGGCCACCGCCUUAUGCCUUGGACCAGGGUGUGUAUGACGCGGGAGUUCAGAGGAUUGGGUUCAUAA
This 489-nucleotide ribosomal RNA is filed under the name Triticum aestivum (bread wheat). Its description in RNAcentral is "partial small subunit ribosomal RNA". The record is from RNAcentral. Lineage: Eukaryota; Viridiplantae; Streptophyta; Magnoliopsida; Poales; Poaceae.